This 57-nucleotide non-coding RNA is filed under the name unclassified sequences. The record is from RNAcentral.
GUCGUAAUGCAGCCGUUGCCACGUGCCAAGUCGUGGAUUAGAAAUGCAGAGGCGGAA